UUUUAAGACUUUUGCUUUGUAUUUGUCUUAUAAAAUGUGUUGUAGUCCUUAAACACUAAUUCACAUUUUACUUUAUCUCCUUAAGGUUAAUGUGAGAAAUGGUAUGAGUUUACAAGAUUGCCUCAUCAAAGCAUUAAAAGUUCGAGGUCUUCAGCCAGAAUGUUGUGCGGUUUUCAAACAUCAGGAACAAAAGGGCAAGAAAGUACGUUUGGAUUGGAAUACAGAUGCAGCUUCGCUAAUUGGUGCAGAGCUACAGGUGGAUUUCUUGGAUCAUGUUCCACUUACAACUCAUAAUUUUGUAGGUUCAUUUUUCUUUAAUAUGUAAAGUUUUUCACUCCAAGAAUUGAAACAUCCUGCCCUGUACUUGUGAACUUUGGUUUGUAGUGUUUUGCCUAAGUACACACUUUAAAGGACCACUCAAUGCAGCAGAAUUACAUAAUUAACAAGUACAUAAUAAAAAGACAAUGCAAUAGCACUUACACUGAA
Molecule: long non-coding RNA, 486 nt
Organism: Bombina bombina (fire-bellied toad)
Lineage: Eukaryota; Metazoa; Chordata; Amphibia; Anura; Bombinatoridae
Exons: 2
Source: RefSeq, a predicted model, not a curated record